Molecule: ribosomal RNA, 270 nt
Filed under: uncultured bacterium
Lineage: Bacteria
Description: partial 16S ribosomal RNA
Rfam family: Bacterial small subunit ribosomal RNA
Source: RNAcentral
GUCCUAGCCUUAAACGAUGAUGACUUGGUGUGUCGGGUUUUUAGUCCCGAUGUGCCGGAGCUAACGCGUUAAGUCAUCCGCCUGGGGAGUACGGUCGCAAGACUGAAACUCAAAGGAAUUGACGGGGACCCCGCACAAGCGGUGGAGCAUGUGGUUUAAUUCGACGCAACGCGAAGAACCUUACCUGGAUUAGAAUGCGAAGGACAGGGUGCAAAACACCUCUCCUAUGGGAAACCAUAGGCCUGAAGCAAGGUGCUGCAUGGCUGUCGU